RNAcentral lists this ribosomal RNA (258 nucleotides) under uncultured bacterium. RNAcentral's name for it is "partial small subunit ribosomal RNA". It matches the Rfam family "Bacterial small subunit ribosomal RNA", at positions 26 to 285 of the family's 1533-position model. The record is from RNAcentral.
AGGACGAACGCUGGCGGCGUGCUUAACACAUGCAAGUCGAACGGUGAAGCCCUUUCGGGGGUGGAUCAGUGGCGAACGGGUGAGUAACACGUGAGCAACCUGCCCUUGACUCUGGGAUAACUUCGGGAAACCGGAGCUAAUACCGGAUAUGACACGCGGAGGCAUCCCCUGUGUGUGGAAAGAUUUAUUGGUCAAGGAUGGGCUCGCGGCCUAUCAGCUAGUUGGUGGGGUAAUGGCCUACCAAGGCGACGACGGGUA